This 469-nucleotide ribosomal RNA is filed under the name uncultured bacterium. RNAcentral's name for it is "bacterial SSU rRNA". It matches the Rfam family "Bacterial small subunit ribosomal RNA", at positions 28 to 508 of the family's 1533-position model. The record is from RNAcentral.
GAUGAACGCUGGCGGCGUGCCUAACACAUGCAAGUCGAACGGACUUACAUUGAAGCCUAGCGAUAUGUAAGUUAGUGGCGGACGGGUGAGUAACGCGUGGGUAACCUGCCUUGUACUGGGGGACAACAGUUGGAAACGACUGCUAAUACCGCAUAAGCGCACAGCUUCGCAUGAAGCGGUGUGAAAAACUCCGGUGGUACAAGAUGGACCCGCGUCUGAUUAGCUGGUUGGUGAGGUAACGGCCCACCAAGGCGACGAUCAGUAGCCGGCCUGAGAGGGUGAACGGCCACAUUGGGACUGAGACACGGCCCAAACUCCUACGGGAGGCAGCAGUGGGGAAUAUUGCACAAUGGGGGAAACCCUGAUGCAGCAACGCCGCGUGAGUGAAGAAGUAUUUCGGUAUGUAAAGCUCUAUCAGCAGGAAAGAAAAUGACGGUACCUGACUAAGAAGCCCCGGCUAACUACGUGC